AGCGAACGCUGGCGGCAGGCUUAACACAUGCAAGUCGAGCGGGCACUUUCGGGUGUCAGCGGCGGACGGGUGCGUAACGCGUGGGAACGUGCCCUCUGGUUCGGAAUAACUCAGGGAAACUUGAGCUAAUACCGGAUACGCCCUUUUGGGGAAAGGCUUGCUGCCGGAGGAUCGGCCCGCGUCUGAUUAGCUAGUUGGUGAGGUAACGGCUCACCAAGGCGACGAUCAGUAGCUGGUCUGAGAGGAUGAUCAGCCACACUGGGACUGAGACACGGCCCAGACUCCUACGGGAGGCAGCAGUGGGGAAUAUUGGACAAUGGGCGCAAGCCUGAUCCAGCCAUGCCGCGUGAGUGAUGAAGGCCUUAGGGUUGUAAAGCUCUUUUAUCCGGGACGAUAAUGACGGUACCGGAGGAAUAAGCCCCGGCUAACUUCGU
This 434-nucleotide ribosomal RNA is filed under the name uncultured bacterium. RNAcentral's name for it is "partial 16S ribosomal RNA". It matches the Rfam family "Bacterial small subunit ribosomal RNA", at positions 29 to 506 of the family's 1533-position model. The record is from RNAcentral.